CCGGCGCACGGGUGAGUAACACGUAUCCAACCUGCCGUCUACUCUUGGACAGCCUUCUGAAAGGAAGAUUAAUACAAGAUGGCAUCAUGAGUCCGCAUGUUCACAUGAUUAAAGGUAUUCCGGUAGACGAUGGGGAUGCGUUCCAUUAGAUAGUAGGCGGGGUAACGGCCCACCUAGUCUUCGAUGGAUAGGGGUUCUGAGAGGAAGGUCCCCCACAUUGGAACUGAGACACGGUCCAAACUCCUACGGGAGGCAGCAGUGAGGAAUAUUGGUCAAUGGGCGAGAGCCUGAACCAGCCAAGUAGCGUGAAGGAUGGCUGCCCUAUGGGUUGUAAACUUCUUUUAUAAAGGAAUAAAGUCGGGUAUGCAUACCCGUUUGCAUGUACUUUAUGAAUAAGGAUCGGCUAACUCCGUGCCAGCAGCCGCGGUAAUACGGAGGAUCCGAGCGUUAUCCGGAUUUAUUGGGUUUAAAGGGAGCGUAGAUGGAUGUUUAAGUCAGUUGUGAAAGUUUGCGGCUCAACCGUAAAAUUGCAGUUGAUACUGGAUAUCUUGAGUGCAGUUGAGGCAGGCGGAAUUCGUGGUGUAGCGGUGAAAUGCUUAG
Molecule: ribosomal RNA, 600 nt
Filed under: uncultured Bacteroidales bacterium
Lineage: Bacteria; Pseudomonadati; Bacteroidota; Bacteroidia; Bacteroidales
Description: bacterial SSU rRNA
Rfam family: Bacterial small subunit ribosomal RNA
Source: RNAcentral